CUAAGCUGUAUCCGCCGUUAGGGGGUUCAUCAUUCUGCAAAUCGACUUAAGAUGUAGCACCUAUAGAGUUCAUGAUAUCCUCAGAGAGACGAGUCUUCGUUGAUGGUCGAUGCAUCUGUAUCUGUUAGCGUCGGUUCGUAUUUGAUUCUUCCUCUCACAGAUGUUACAAGUUCAUUGAUUCAAUAUCAGUUACGAAUCUCGCAUUCAAUGUCUAUUUGCCCUCUUACCAUCUAUAGAAAGGAAUGUCGGUGUUCUUUCACCGUCGAGAUGAUGCGGUUGCUCAGAUGCUGAGAAGCCAUAUUGUUAAACGCGGUGGGGAGUUGAUGGGAGUUUACAUGAUCUUCAUUCCGACGGUCUAGUGCGGUUGCUCAGAUUCUCGAUGUCUUUGACCAUAUUUCUUAUCACCUGGUUUUAACUGAACGGAGAUAAAGACAUCGAGGGUUCACUUCUUGAGAUUCGUUAACGACGGGUUGAUUAGCAAUAACGGUAUCGUCCAAAUCUAACGCUUUUGGCGACGAAGAAACCGAUGAGAAGAGGAUAGCUCCUAAGUCUACUCGCGAAUGAAGUGACUUUAUGGGUUUGUCUUCGAUUUGCAGAGAUGGUCGAGUGAUCUGGUGGUUUUCCAAGGAGAAGGGAAAGGAGGGUUUUAGGUGUGGGAGAUGAGAUUAUGAUGUUGGAUCUGAAGAAAAUUGAUUAACGUAGAGAGCUUUGAACCUGUGGCGUCUUUGUGAGAGAGAGGGAGAGGUAUCAAUGAGAAACAUGGAAUGAGAAAUGCAUCAUUAGAAAUGCAACAUUCAAUAAAAUAAGGAUGUUGGAAAAGCUGUAGUAGGGAGAUAUUCAAAAGUACUUUAGUUUCUGGCUUCUAAUGUAUUUGCUUGGAUUGAUCGUGUUCCCUGCGUACACAAAAACAUGAAAGCAGAAGAUUCCAAGAGUUGAACAAGUCUGAGUGCAGCUGCAAGAUGAGAUGAAGAGACAUGAAGGUCUAACAACAGCAUAUGAGGUGGAGAAUAAUACCAAAACUGAUGAGAGGUAAGAACUGAGAGUAAUCACUGAUGAGAGGUAAGAACUGAGAGUAAUCUUGGGAAAACAAAAGAAAAUAAUAUAAGUUUAGAAAUAGAGGUCAAAACGUUGAAAGAAAGGAAAAAUGUUACGAGGGUGACAUGGGGACAUAGAAUUUUCAGAGGGCUUUUGUUUGUGUAUGUUUAUGCAUCAUGUAAUACAAAACUUUUGUGGGUAUGUGUCUCUGAGAUGUGAUUA
This is a long non-coding RNA of Brassica oleracea var. oleracea, 1257 nucleotides long. RefSeq lists it as uncharacterized. The record is from RefSeq and is a predicted model, not a curated record. NCBI's taxonomy places the organism in Eukaryota, Viridiplantae, Streptophyta, Magnoliopsida, Brassicales, Brassicaceae. The transcript has 4 exons.